CCUACGGGUGGCUGCAGUAAGGAAUAUUGGUCAAUGGCCGUAAGGCUGAACCAGCCAAGUCGCGUGAAGGAAGAAGGAUCUAUGGUUUGUAAACUUCUUUUAUAGGGGAAUAAAGGUAGCCACGUGUGGAUAGUUGCAUGUACCCUAUGAAUAAGCAGCGGCUAACUCCGUGCCAGCAGCCGCGGUAAUACGGAGGAUGCGAGCGUUAUCCGGAUUGAUUGGGUUUAAAGGGAGCGUAGAUGGGUUGUUAAGUCAGUUGUGAAAGUUUGCGGCUCAACCGUAAAAUUGCAAUUGAUACUGGCAGUCUUGCGUACAGUUGAGGUCGGCGGACUUCGUGGUGUAGCGGUGAAAUUCUUAGAUAUCACG
This 366-nucleotide ribosomal RNA is filed under the name uncultured bacterium. RNAcentral describes it as "partial 16S ribosomal RNA". It matches the Rfam family "Bacterial small subunit ribosomal RNA", at positions 338 to 701 of the family's 1533-position model. The record is from RNAcentral.